UACGGGGGGGGCAAGCGUUGUUCGGAAUUACUGGGCGUAAAGCGUGCGUAGACGGCUAUCUAAGUCGGGUGUGAAAGCCCCGGGCUCAACCUGGGAAUUGCAUUCGAGACUGAAUAGCUAGGGUGCGGUAGAGGGAAGCGGAAUUUCCGGUGUAGCGGUGAAAUGCGUAGAUAUCGGAAGGAACAUCAGUGGCGAAAGCGGCUUCCUGGACCAGCACCGACGUUCAGGCACGAAAGCGUGGGGAGCAAACAGG
This 253-nucleotide ribosomal RNA is filed under the name uncultured bacterium. RNAcentral's name for it is "partial 16S ribosomal RNA". It matches the Rfam family "Bacterial small subunit ribosomal RNA", at positions 524 to 776 of the family's 1533-position model. The record is from RNAcentral.